CAGUCCGCGGUAAUACGAAGGGAGCGAGCGUUGUUCGGAAUCACUGGGCUUAAAGCGUGCGUAGGCGGAAAUGUAAGUCAGAAGUGAAAGCCCAGGGCUCAACCCUGGAACUGCUUUUGAGACUGCAAUUCUAGAAUUCGGUAGAGGCUAGUGGAAUGUCCAGUGUAGAGGUGAAAUUCGCAGAUAUUGGACGGAACACCAGUGGCGAAGGCGACUAGCUGGGCCGAUAUUGACGCUGAGGUACGAAAGCGUGGGAGCGAACAGGAUUAGAUACCCCAGUAGUCCCUGUCUCUUAUACACA
Molecule: ribosomal RNA, 301 nt
Filed under: uncultured bacterium
Lineage: Bacteria
Description: partial 16S ribosomal RNA
Rfam family: Bacterial small subunit ribosomal RNA
Source: RNAcentral